This 253-nucleotide ribosomal RNA is filed under the name uncultured bacterium. RNAcentral's name for it is "partial 16S ribosomal RNA". It matches the Rfam family "Bacterial small subunit ribosomal RNA", at positions 524 to 776 of the family's 1533-position model. The record is from RNAcentral.
UACGAGAGGCCCAAACGUUAUUCGGAAUUACUGGGCUUAAAGAGUUCGUAGGCGGCAUGAAAAGUAGGGUGUGAAAGCCCUCGGCUUAACCGAGGAAUUGCGCUCUAAACUGUCGUGCUCGAGGAACCUAGAGGUGAGCAGAACAGAUGGUGGAGCGGUGAAAUGCGUUGAUAUCAGGAGGAACACCUGUGGUGUAGACAGCUUACUGGACCAUUUCUGACGCUGAGACACGAAAGCGUGGGUAGCAAACAGG